Molecule: unclassified non-coding RNA, 359 nt
Filed under: fungal sp.
Lineage: Eukaryota; Fungi
Description: partial internal transcribed spacer region
Rfam family: Eukaryotic small subunit ribosomal RNA (bases 1-46)
Source: RNAcentral
AAGUCGUAACAAGGUUUCCGUAGGUGAACCUGCGGAAGGAUCAUUACAGAUUGUUUUCAAAAACAAAAUUGGACUAAGCUGUUGCUGGUUUUUUCGAAAGAGAAAGCAUGUGCACGCUUUGGCUUCAGUUUUUGACCACCUGUGCACCCUUGUGUGGAUUUUUGAAUAUUCAGGAAGAAAAAAAAAAUUCCUGGUCAGAGAAGAUGUCUCAGAAACAUACAGUAUGGGACUUUUCUUGUAUUUCAGAUCUACAUCAUUUUUUUUUUUUCUACAUACACUUUGUAUUACAUAUUGGAACGAUUAAAUGAUUCAAAUUUUCAUUUUGAAAACAACUUUCAACAACGGAUCUCUUGGCUCUC